GGACCUCCCACAUGCUUACUAAGGGCCCCGUCGCCCCCCCCUGUGGGCCGGGGGGGGUUAUUCCGGACCCCACCGGCGAAUUAGUGACCCCCCAAGAGCAGUGAACUGCCCAACUAGGGACCGCAUGGCAAAAGCCAAAAUGACCGCCGCAACCCUCACUAGCUGGGGAAUGGAGGCGGCAACAAGGGAGCAACCUCUGGGAACUGCCUGCAAACCAACGCGGACCAGACUACCACACACUAACUGCGGCCCGCAAACAAUAGCACACUCUGGCAGCACAUCAGACAACUCCACGGAGGGCACGUUCGAGCAAAGCCCAUGUCUGCGAACACCUGAGGCACUGUCCCAC
Pelobates cultripes (western spadefoot toad) is the source of this 349-nucleotide non-coding RNA. The record is from the annotation of a GenBank genome assembly. NCBI's taxonomy places the organism in Eukaryota, Metazoa, Chordata, Amphibia, Anura, Pelobatidae.